Molecule: ribosomal RNA, 756 nt
Filed under: Triticum aestivum (bread wheat)
Lineage: Eukaryota; Viridiplantae; Streptophyta; Magnoliopsida; Poales; Poaceae
Description: partial small subunit ribosomal RNA
Source: RNAcentral
AUGCGAUGUGCAUUGGUUGCACCGACGACUGGAUCGCCAUAUGUUGCGUCUUCGGCGACAAUGCGCACAAAACUCAUAGCUACCUCUUGCACAAUCCUUUCUCUGACACGACCAUGCCAAUCCCUGAGUGCUCUUAUCGGUAAUAAUGUCUCUGUGCUUUUCGAGAUCCGCAAGGUGCUCAUGCGGUCGACCCCUCAAGACGUGGUCGCUAUUAUGACCAACAACUACAAUUACCCGAUCAUCCUGGUCCGGCCAGGGAAGGGCAUGUGGCUGCCCAGGCCACGAGCGGCGCCCUUCAUCUACAUCAUUGACAUUGCCUUCAUUGGAGAUACGCUCUAUGGGAUCACCAAGGGGGAGGACCUCUUAUGCCUCGAUAUUGCUUUUGAUGACGUCGGCACGCCCACCAUUACUAGAGCCAAGCGUGUCAUAAGGCACCCGUUCAAGGUCGGCAAUCAUUCUAAAGUGUGGAGCAACACUGAUCUCUUCCAUGUCUGGUCAUAUCCAUAUAAGCUUGACGAUGGUUAUGACUUGUGGAGCGACGUUGAUGAGAAGUACCACAAAUAUGUUGGCAAGGAUAAGGACGGGCAAGAUGCUGAGACUCUAAUCGGAGGGCAUGAUGAAGACCGUGCGCAAUAUAAGAUGGCAAAGAACACCGGCAACAACACGAUUCGGGAAGGCAUCAACUAUGAAAACUUGUUGGAUUGUUCAUCACUACCUGGCAAAUCGUCGAGUCUUGCGGGAAGUUGCUCAUGUUGA